RNAcentral lists this ribosomal RNA (497 nucleotides) under uncultured bacterium. Its description in RNAcentral is "partial 16S ribosomal RNA". It matches the Rfam family "Bacterial small subunit ribosomal RNA", at positions 28 to 507 of the family's 1533-position model. The record is from RNAcentral.
GAUGAACGCUGGCGGCGUGCCUAAUACAUGCAAGUCGAGCGAACGGACGAGGAGCUUGCUUCUCUGAUGUUAGCGGCGGACGGGUGAGUAACACGUGGAUAACCUACCUAUAAGACUGGGAUAACUUCGGGAAACCGGAGCUAAUACCGGAUAAUAUUUUGAACCGCAUGGUUCAAUAGUGAAAGACGGUCUUGCUGUCACUUAUAGAUGGAUCCGCGCUGCAUUAGCUAGUUGGUAAGGUAACGGCUUACCAAGGCAACGAUGCGUAGCCGACCUGAGAGGGUGAUCGGCCACACUGGAACUGAGACACGGUCCAGACUCCUACGGGAGGCAGCAGUAGGGAAUCUUCCGCAAUGGGCGAAAGCCUGACGGAGCAACGCCGCGUGAGUGAUGAAGGUCUUCGGAUCGUAAAACUCUGUUAUUAGGGAAGAACAUAUGUGUAAGUAACUAUGCACAUCUUGACGGUACCUAAUCAGAAAGCCACGGCUAACUACGUG